CUAACAUUCUAGGCAACAAUUGAUUUCAGAGUAGGUGCUCUAUUAUUUAUUGUUGAUCUAGUGGUUUAGAGCCAAAGAUCAUAAAAAUCCAAAUUGAUUCUUUAUUUAUUGAAGGCCAUUCUAUAGAUAGAUCCCCACUAUUUAAUGGAUCGAAUUAUAUUUAUUGAAAGGCUAGGAUGAAAAUAUUCAUACAAGCACAUGAUCAUAAUUUAUGAAAAAUUAUAGUCGAU
This 230-nucleotide long non-coding RNA is filed under the name Elaeis guineensis (African oil palm). RNAcentral describes it as "long non-coding RNA (EGUI_LNC034702)". Lineage: Eukaryota; Viridiplantae; Streptophyta; Magnoliopsida; Arecales; Arecaceae. The record is from RNAcentral.